Molecule: ribosomal RNA, 497 nt
Filed under: uncultured bacterium
Lineage: Bacteria
Description: partial 16S ribosomal RNA
Rfam family: Bacterial small subunit ribosomal RNA
Source: RNAcentral
GAUGAACGCUGGCGGCGUGCCUAAUACAUGCCAGUCGAGCGAACGGACGAGAAGCUUGCUUCUCUGAUGUUAGCGGCGGACGGGUGAGUAACACGUGGAUAACCUACCUAUAAGACUGGGAUAACUUCGGGAAACCGGAGCUAAUACCGGAUAAUAUUUUGAACCGCAUGGUUCAAAAGUGAAAGACGGUCUUGCUGUCACUUAUAGAUGGAUCCGCGCUGCAUUAGCUAGUUGGUAAGGUAACGGCUUACCAAGGCAACGAUGCAUAGCCGACCUGAGAGGGUGGUCGGCCAGACUGGAACUGAGACACGGUGCAGACACCUACAGGAGGCAGCAGUAGGGAAUCUUCCGCAAUGGGCGAAAGCCGGACGGAGCAACGCCGCGUGAGUGAUGAAGGUCUUCGGAUCGGAAAACUCUGUUAUUAGGGAAGAACAUAUGUGUAAGUAACUGUGCACAUCUUGACGGUACCUAAGCAGAAAGCCACGGCUAACUACGUG